Molecule: long non-coding RNA, 733 nt
Filed under: Pongo abelii (Sumatran orangutan)
Lineage: Eukaryota; Metazoa; Chordata; Mammalia; Primates; Hominidae
Description: lincRNA
Source: RNAcentral
CUAGCCCAGUGGCUUCCAAACCUGGAGGGUCGGCCUAUUUUCUUUAUUCUCCUAGUGCCUCCACUAUGCAGCAAAGUGUGGAAACCACUUGGCUUGAGAGAGCUGGGUCCUCUGGAGCAGUUCAGGGUCACCACAGAAGUAGGCCGUCUCUUGGGCCUAUUCGCUCCAGCUUCGAGGUGGUGGUGCUUUAUUAGUGUUAUUAAGGCUAGAGUGCAGUGGUGCGAUCUCGGCUCACUACAACUUCUACCUCCCGAGUUCAAGCGAUUCUCCUGCCUCAGCCUCCCGAGUAGCGGGGACUACAGUGUCAAGGUCAUGAAAGCCACUGAAAGACUGAGAACUGUUCCAGAAAGGAGACUAGAGAGACAUGGCAGCCAAAUGCUCCACAUAAUCCUGUCCUGGAUUCUUUUCCUACAAAGGAAGGGGUCUGAGGAUUAGGUGGUAGUACUGAAUCCAGGAACUAUCAUCUUGUAUUGUGCUGUAGGCAAACUUUAGUAACAUAGUGGAAGCCACCAGAGAGAAUAUCUGAAGCAAUUCAUUAAAAUCUUGGCAGCCAGACCCCAGCUCCCACUUUACCUGAAAGCUCCCUUUAAUGAAGCUGAACUCUGUCCCAGCAAUUCCCUCCACAGAAGACCUACUGUCACCACCUAUGGAGGGGCAAUUCCUGGAGGAACCAAGUCAGCCAAUCGAAGGUCCUGAAUAAGCAAAAACUAAGUAAAUAAAUUACCAUCUCAAA